UCCUCUCCUCUUCUCCAAAACACCACACCACCAUACCCACUUUAUAUUUUCUUUUAAUCUUCACUACUCCACAUCAAUUCCUCAUCAAUUUCUCAAGAGAUUUCAAGGAGCAUCAAUAUUUGAGAUUGGGUAAAAGUGGAAAAUCAUAAAUCAAGGCUUGUCAUAAUUGCUCCAUAGCAAUUUGUGACUUGUUCUUGUGACUUCUCACUUCUCUUCACUUUUAUCUCUUUAUUUGAUGUAUUUUGUUGUUGAUUUGUGGAUGGGUUGUGAGUAGUCUAUUUAGGAAGCUAGGGUUUGAGCCCUAGCAUGGAUUUAAUAUGA
RNAcentral lists this long non-coding RNA (321 nucleotides) under Rosa chinensis. RNAcentral describes it as "sRNA RchiOBHm_Chr3g0483071". Lineage: Eukaryota; Viridiplantae; Streptophyta; Magnoliopsida; Rosales; Rosaceae. The record is from RNAcentral.